CCUACGGGAGGCUGCAGUGGGGAAUAUUGCACAAUGGGCGAAAGCCUGAUGCAGCGACGCCGCGUGAGUGAUGAAGGACUUCGGUAUGUAAAGCUCUAUUAGUAGGGAAGAAAAUAACGGUACGUGACUAUGAAGGUCUGGCCAAAUACGGACCAGAAGACGCGGUAAUACGGCGGGGGCCACGGGUAUCCGGAUUUACUGUGUGUAACGGGAGCGUAGACGGUUGUGCAAGUCUGGAGUGAAAGGCGUGGGCUCAACCCCCGGACCGCUCGUGAAACUGGACGGCUGGAGUGCAGGAGAGGUAAGUGGAAUUCCAGGUGUAGCGGUGAAAUGCGUAGAUAUUAGGAGGAACACCAGUGGCGAAGGCGGCUUACUGGACUGUAACUGACGCUGAGGCUCGAAAGCGUGGGGAGCAAACAGGAUUAGAUACCCCAGUAGUC
This 440-nucleotide ribosomal RNA is filed under the name uncultured bacterium. RNAcentral describes it as "partial 16S ribosomal RNA". It matches the Rfam family "Bacterial small subunit ribosomal RNA", at positions 338 to 795 of the family's 1533-position model. The record is from RNAcentral.